This 768-nucleotide ribosomal RNA is filed under the name Pristimantis sobetes. Its description in RNAcentral is "partial 16S ribosomal RNA". It matches the Rfam family "Bacterial large subunit ribosomal RNA", at positions 1239 to 2517 of the family's 2925-position model. The record is from RNAcentral. Lineage: Eukaryota; Metazoa; Chordata; Amphibia; Anura; Strabomantidae.
UACCAUAAUUUCACUCGACCCCUUUAAUUGUACUGAGAACUUCUAUAAAAUUAUAGAACUUUUUAUGCUAGAACUAGUAACAAGAGGUAAAACCUCUCUAUAAUGCAAGUAUAAGCCAGCAAGAAUCCGUCACUGUCAACUAACAGACCUAAACAAAAGUAGCAACCUACCCAGAAAACCCUACCUACCUUAACUGUUAACCUAAUACUAGAGCAUUUCAAGAAAGAUUAAAAGAAAGAGAAGGAACUCGGCAAAUAUUAGCCCCGCCUGUUUACCAAAAACAUCGCCUCUUGCUAUUAUAAGAGGUCUAGCCUGCCCAGUGACUUCUGUUCAACGGCCGCGGUAUCCUAACCGUGCGAAGGUAGCGUAAUCACUUGUCUUCUAAAUAGAGACCAGUAUGAAAGGCAUCACGAGGGCUAAACUGUCUCCUCCCCCUAAUCAGUGAACCUAAUCCCCCCGUGAAGAAGCGGGGAUUUUUUUAUAAGACGAGAAGACCCUAUGGAGCUUAAAACAUCACACACCUGCUGCUAUUUUUUAUUUACCCAGGUAUUUCCCCCCCCCCCGGCAGGCUGAUUAAAUGUUUUUGGUUGGGGUGACCGUGGAGAAAAAUUUAUCCUCCACAAUGAAAGGAAUUACUCCUAAACAGCAAGCUACAACUUUAUGUAUCAGCAAACUGACAUCCAUUGACCCAAUAUAUUGAUUAACGAACCAAGUUACCCUAGGGAUAACAGCGCAAUCCACUUUGAGAGCCCCUAUCGACAAGUGGGC